AAACUCUUGUGUGGUUGUUUCUCCUUCUUCACCCUUUUCAUCCUUCCUAAAUAUCUCUGCCAAUUCCUCACACUCUCUUACCUCAAGCACUUCAAGUUUGGUAAGAUCUUUGGCCACCGAUGCUGGAAACAAACUUUUAAGAGAAUCACAAUAAUAAACAGUCAUUUCCUUUAGCACUUGAAGGCCAAUAAUCCCCUCCGGAUCCUUGUCCCAUACAUGCUCCAGUUUUGGUAGAUACCUUAAAGACAAUAUUUUCAAACGGAAUAUUCCGGAAGCUUUUGUCACCCUGUUCUCAUCAUUCAUAUUAAAUAUGAGCUGUGCUGAUUUGCAAGCAUAUACUUGUAACACUUCCAAAUUGUGAAAGCAAGAGAGCAAAUGAGAUGGAAUUACAUGCU
RNAcentral lists this long non-coding RNA (395 nucleotides) under Phaseolus vulgaris (common bean). Its description in RNAcentral is "long non-coding RNA (PVUL_LNC000848)". The record is from RNAcentral. Lineage: Eukaryota; Viridiplantae; Streptophyta; Magnoliopsida; Fabales; Fabaceae.